Molecule: ribosomal RNA, 659 nt
Filed under: uncultured Acidobacteriota bacterium
Lineage: Bacteria; Pseudomonadati; Acidobacteriota
Description: bacterial SSU rRNA
Rfam family: Bacterial small subunit ribosomal RNA
Source: RNAcentral
AGAGUUUGAUCCUGGCUCAGAAUCAACGCUGGCGGGGGGGACGCAUGCAAGUCGAACGCGAAAGGGGCUUCGGCCCUGAGUAGAGUGGCGAACGGGUGAGUAACACGUGGGUGAUCUACCUCUGAGUGGGGGAUAACCUUCCGAAAGGAGGGCUAAUACCGCAUGACGUCCCGGGUUUGAAGACCUGGACACCAAAGUCGGGGACCGCAAGGCCUGACGCUUGGAGAGGAGCCCGCGCCUGAUUAGCUAGUUGGUGAGGUAAUGGCUCACCAAGGCGACGAUCAGUAGCCGGCCUGAGAGGGCGGACGGCCACACUGGGACUGAGACACGGCCCAGACUCCUACGGGAGGCAGCAGUGGGGAAUUGUUCGCAAUGGGCGUUUUUCUGACGACGCAACGCCGCGUGGAGGAUGAAGGUCUUCGGAUUGUAAACUCCUGUUGACCGGGACGAAUGGGCUCCGACCUAACACGUUGGGGCAGUGACGGUACCGGUUGAGGAAGCCACGGCUAACUCUGUGCCAGCAGCCGCGGUAAUACAGAGGUGGCAAGCGUUGUUCGGAAUUACUGGGCGUAAAGGGCGCGUAGGCGGCCUUCUAAGUCAGACGUGAAAUCCCCAGGCUUAACUUGGGAACUGCGUCUGAUACUGGAUGGCUUGAGUGC